This 468-nucleotide ribosomal RNA is filed under the name uncultured bacterium. RNAcentral describes it as "partial 16S ribosomal RNA". It matches the Rfam family "Bacterial small subunit ribosomal RNA", at positions 28 to 507 of the family's 1533-position model. The record is from RNAcentral.
GACGAACGCUGGCGGCGUGCUUAACACAUGCAAGUCGAACGGAAAGGCCCUGCUUUUGUGGGGUGCUCGAGUGGCGAAUGGGUGAGUAACACGUGAGUAACCUGCCCUUGACUUUGGGAUAACUUCAGGAAACUGGGGCUAAUACCGGAUAGGAGCUCCUGCUGCAUGGUGGGGGUUGGAAAGUUUCGGCGGUUGGGGAUGGACUCGCGGCUUAUCAGCUUGUUGGUGGGGUAGUGGCUUACCAAGGCUUUGACGGGUAGCCGGCCUGAGAGGGUGACCGGCCACAUUGGGACUGAGAUACGGCCCAGACUCCUACGGGAGGCAGCAGUGGGGAAUAUCGCACAAUGGGCGGAAGCCUGAUGCAGCAACGCCGCGUGCGGGAUGACGGCCUUCGGGUUGUAAACCGCUUUCGCCUGUGACGAAGCGUGAGUGACGGUAAUGGGUAAAGAAGCACCGGCUAACUACGUG